UCAAUCUCAGCCCUACGACUCAGAGCUUCAAACAAAUCCAACCUCAGCCUUACGAUUGAAGGCUUCUAAUCGCAUUGGACAACCCUGGCCUAGGGUUUCGAUGAAGCACAGGGCGGUGGCGUUAAUGGGGUUGCAACGGUAGCCCGGUCUUAGAAAGUGAACAGAGAUGAGUUCGGUAUGCAUCUCUGUUUCCACGAUUGCCCGGGUUCACCGUCAUUCCUUUGUUAGUCACUGGUGAUCUGACUCUCGUGGGCCGUGUUCGACAGUCAUUUGUUUACAAAGCAAGAAAGGAAUCCCAUAGCGAUAUAACAAUUACAGGUCAUAGGCUAAGAGUGGGAGGGAAAGGUGACUCGUGCAAUUGGACGCACCGUCAUUCCCCACUUCUGUCGCUCUGAGCAAUUCUCCUUCAACCCCUCCCAGUUAUCUGCGAUUCUACCAAUCGUUCCCAUCUCGCUUCACUGUCAAAUAUGAUCUAAGCUUAGACUUUCAGUUUGUACAAUCCCUUCAAUGUUGAGCUCGGAUCUUCAGGGAAUUUGGGAUUUAGGCUCUGAUUCGAGUCCUCUCUGCUGUCAAGGGCCUUGAAUCAUGUAAGUGAUUUGGAAAUGGAAAUUUCUACUCAAAAACACCUCCGCCGGCCCCUACAUGAUCUACAUGGGUUUAUGAUCUCAAUACUAUCUGAGGAAUCCCUGAUCUAAUUCCAUCGUAAUUCAGUCGGGACCCCGAUAGUGUACAUAACUUUCCUAAGCGACUCUUCCGACCGGUUCAAUUUCUCGUCGCUAAAAUCUAAACUCUGCUUACCGAACUCAUCUCUGUUUGUUAAGAUAAAGGUCAGGGUCAAUCAGGGCGGUGAAUUGAACACUGAACUCUCAUUCUUAAGACAGGAGAAGACAUGUGGGUUUCCGUUAAAACACUUUUGAUGUUUCAAGCUUUUCCCUUCCUCUGCAACUCUCCCUUUAGCCCUUUUUCAUCUUCAUCCUCUGCCUCUGUCAAUCUUCCCUUCUCGUCUGCUCUUUUAUUUAUUUAUUUUUUUUUCUUUCUUCUCUAGCUAUGAACACGACCUUGCAAUAAUUCUGCGGCGGCAGCACUGAUAACUCAUGGAAUUGGCUUAGUAAUCAUUCUUCUACCUCCUCUUCCCCUUCUUCAAUAGGGUUUGUAACUGAUCUGGACUCUUUCUCCUCGGUGCUUUAUUCUAACGGAGAAGAAGGGUUGGAGGAAGAGGAGAGAAGAAGAUAAGAGGGAUUAUGGUGGUUGAGGGUGAAGGAAGAACAAAGAAGAAAAGGGUCAGAGAUGCGUCACCGACAGUUGCAACUCAACGCCAGAGAGUGCACGAACUAAUAAGAUGAGUGUGCUUCGAUUUGGUUCUGUUGUCUUGAAGAAGGACGGCCCUGCAAUCUCACAUCAUAGGGUACUUUAGGGAUUAUAAAAAAGAAGGUAAGGCUAACGUCAUCACUCAGCAGGGACGAUUGAUAGAAUCUUUUGGUGGUUGGACUGGGGAGAGUAUGUUUUUUCAAAAAGUCUGCUGGGGAACAUGAUAUUUAGAUUAAGUAUUGAGAGGAUAGUGAUAAUUCAUUAUAAAAUAAUAAUGAAUCUAGAUGGAUGAGUGAAAUUUACAUCAGUGGUGGGGGAUUCUUAUAAGGUUCAUCAUCUUUUCAGGUCAAGUGUUAUGUAGCUAGUUUAGAAAGUCUUGUAGUCGAGUAAUUAAGAUAUAAAAAUUUUAUCCAAUUUUUGACGAAAUAAUUGAUCCAAGUUACAACCAA
Molecule: long non-coding RNA, 1757 nt
Organism: Macadamia integrifolia
Lineage: Eukaryota; Viridiplantae; Streptophyta; Magnoliopsida; Proteales; Proteaceae
Exons: 2
Source: RefSeq, a predicted model, not a curated record